RNAcentral lists this ribosomal RNA (495 nucleotides) under uncultured Desulfobulbus sp. RNAcentral's name for it is "bacterial SSU rRNA". It matches the Rfam family "Bacterial small subunit ribosomal RNA", at positions 904 to 1382 of the family's 1533-position model. Lineage: Bacteria; Pseudomonadati; Thermodesulfobacteriota; Desulfobulbia; Desulfobulbales; Desulfobulbaceae. The record is from RNAcentral.
CCAGCCGCUCAGAACUCAAUGAAUUGACGGGGCCGCACAAGCGUGGAGUAUGUGGUUUAAUUCGAUGCAACGCGAAGACCUUACCUGGUCUUGACAUCCCGGAGACCCUUAGGAAACUAGGGGUGCUUCCAUCUGGAGAAUCUGGAGACAGGUGCUGCAUGGCUGUCGUCAGCUCGUGUCGUGAGAUGUUGGGUUAAGUCCCGCAACGAGCGCAACCCUUGCCUUUAGUUGCCAGCAGUUCGGCUGGGCACUCUAAAGGGACUGCCGGUGUUAAACCGGAGGAAGGUGGGGAUGACGUCAAGUCCUCAUGGCCUUUAUGACCAGGGCUACACACGUACUACAAUGGCCGAUACAAAGGGCAGCGACACUGCGAGGUGAAGCCAAUCCCGUAAAAUCGGUCUCAGUCCGGAUUGGAGUCUGCAACUCGACUCCAUGAAGUUGGAAUCGCUAGUAAUCGUGGAUCAGCAUGCCACGGUGAAUACGUUCCCGGGCCUU